This 74-nucleotide transfer RNA is filed under the name Thermalbibacter longus. RNAcentral's name for it is "tRNA-Phe". It matches the Rfam family "tRNA". From Rfam's summary of the family: Transfer RNA (tRNA) molecules are approximately 80 nucleotides in length. Their secondary structure includes four short double-helical elements and three loops (D, anti-codon, and T loops). Further hydrogen bonds mediate the characteristic L-shaped molecular structure. tRNAs have two regions of fundamental functional importance: the anti-codon, which is responsible for specific mRNA codon recognition, and the 3' end, to which the tRNAs corresponding amino acid is attached (by aminoacyl-tRNA synthetases). tRNAs cope with the degeneracy of the genetic code in two manners: having more than one tRNA (with a specific anti-codon) for a particular amino acid; and 'wobble' base-pairing, i.e. permitting non-standard base-pairing at the 3rd anti-codon position. The record is from RNAcentral. Lineage: Bacteria; Pseudomonadati; Thermomicrobiota; Thermomicrobia; Thermomicrobiales; Thermomicrobiaceae.
GGCUGGGUAGCUCAGUCUGGUAGAGCAGCGGACUGAAAAUCCGUGUGUCGGCGGUUCAAAUCCGCCCCCAGCCA